Molecule: ribosomal RNA, 449 nt
Filed under: uncultured bacterium
Lineage: Bacteria
Description: partial 16S ribosomal RNA
Rfam family: Bacterial small subunit ribosomal RNA
Source: RNAcentral
AAUGAACGCUGGCGGCAGGCCUAACACAUGCAAGUCGAACGGAUCCUUCGGGAUUAGUGGCGGACGGGUGAGUAACGCGUGGGAACAUACCCAAAGGUACGGAAUAGCCUCGGGAAACUGGGAGUAAUACCGUAUGUGCUCGAAAGAGGAAAGAUUUAUCGCCUUUGGAUUGGCCCGCGUUGGAUUAGGUAGUUGGUGGGGUAAUGGCCUACCAAGCCGACGAUCCAUAGCUGGUUUGAGAGGAUGAUCAGCCACACUGGGACUGAGACACGGGCCAGACUGCUACGGGAGGCAGCAGGGGUGAAUCUUAGACAAUGGGGGAAACCCUGAUCUAGCCAUGCCGCGUGAUCGAUGAAGGCCUUAGGGUUGUAAAUAUCUUUCAGGUGGGAAGAUAAUGACUGUACCACCAGAAGAAGCCCCGGCUAACUCCGUGCCAGCCGCCGCAGUAA